Planktothrix agardhii NIVA-CYA 126/8 is the source of this 187-nucleotide non-coding RNA. It matches the Rfam family "Antisense RNA which regulates isiA expression". Lineage: Bacteria; Bacillati; Cyanobacteriota; Cyanophyceae; Oscillatoriales; Microcoleaceae. The record is from Rfam.
AAUAGCCAAAGAUCGCGGCCGGGUUCAAAGUCGGAUUGGCAAUCACACGGACAUCGCCACCACCUGGGGCCCAAGUGUCAUAGACACCCCCAAAGAACAUGGCUUUGAACACUAACAGGAAAGCCCCCAGACCCAAUAUAAUCAGGUGAUACCCGAUAAUAUUGGUCAUUUGGUUUUUGUCUUUCCA